GAUGAACGCUGGCGGCGUGCCUAAUACAUGCAAGUCGAGCGAACGGACGAGAAGCUUGCUUUUCUGAUGUUAGCGGCGGACGGGUGAGUAACACGUGGAUAACCUACCUAUAAGACUGGGAUAACUUCGGGAAACCGGAGCUAAUACCGGAUAAUAUUUUGAACCGCAUGGUUCAAAAGUGAAAGACGGUCUUGCUGUCACUUAUAGAUGGAUCCGCGCUGCAUUAGCUAGUUGGUAAGGUAACGGCUUACCAAGGCAACGAUGCAUAGCCGACCUGAGAGGGGGAUCGGCCACACUGGAACUGAGACACGGUCCAGACUCCUACGGGAGGCAGCAGUAGGGAAUCUUACGCAAUGGGCGAAAGCCUGACGGAGCAACGCCGCGUGAGUGAUGAAGGUCUUCGGAUCGUAAAACUCUGUUAUUAGGGAAGAACAUAUGUGUAAGUAACUGUGCACAUCUUGACGGUACCUAAUCAGAAAGCCACGGCUAACUACGUG
This 497-nucleotide ribosomal RNA is filed under the name uncultured bacterium. RNAcentral describes it as "partial 16S ribosomal RNA". It matches the Rfam family "Bacterial small subunit ribosomal RNA", at positions 28 to 507 of the family's 1533-position model. The record is from RNAcentral.